Molecule: non-coding RNA, 1367 nt
Organism: Cricetulus griseus (Chinese hamster)
Lineage: Eukaryota; Metazoa; Chordata; Mammalia; Rodentia; Cricetidae
Source: RefSeq, a predicted model, not a curated record
UCCUUGGGCUUGUUAUUAUCUUUUUCUAAAAUUAUGUAUUGUUUAAAACUACCACAGACACCCUAAUGAGUACAUCAUGACUAACAAUCAUGCAGAGGUUUUUAUAUAAAGUUCCUUAAUGACUAAUGACAUUAUGCAUCUUGUUGUGUCAUUGUCAUUUGCAUGUCUUUUGAGACCUAUCUAUUGAAAUAUUUUUCUAUUUUUCAGCGGUGCUGCUCAGCUUUUGAAGACUGAAUGUAAUAGUUCUUUCUAUAUUUGGAGUACUAGACCUCUUGGCUAUGGCUUUAAGAUGGAUGCAGGCGCAUGUAUAGAAUGGAAAAGAGAUCCCCACCAGGAAUCAGAUGCUUGUGGCAAAAUAUAUUUUUGGAAUUUUCCAGUUUGUUCUAUUCUUCCAAAACCCAGCCCUGCUUGGACUAUGUGACACAGAUGGAGAGACUUUGAAGCUUCAUAUGACAGUGGAUCUGGUACAAAGAAAUAUGGACUACAUGGACUAUAGGCUCUUUCUAAGGCUUUUGACUGGUUUGAGACCUCUACGAUUCUCUCUCCCUUUCUCUCUAUGUGUCAAAGACACAGAUACACACACACACACACACACACACACACACACACACAGAGAGAGAGAGAGAGAGAGAGAGAGAGAGAGAGAGAGAGAGAGAGAGAGAGAGAGAGACUGAGAGACUGAGAGGAAUAACAAUGCUGGAAGCAAUGUCAGGUCCUUGCGUUCUGCUCCCAUCUUUAGCCACCACAUGAGUUUGAGGUGGAGUUCAGUAGAAGCAUUUACAGAAGACAAGACCUGAGUUACAGGCUAGGUAAGGUCAGAAAGAGUCAGCAUGGAGAGCAUGCUUAUUCCUCUUCCUGGAUUCCUGGUACUGAAGGAAAAGUGGAGGUGUAGCAUCUGAGAUCCAAGAAGCAAUGUCUUUCAAUCUCAUAGCUUCAACUGUAGCUGAUGUAAUACAAAUUUCCACAUGCUAUAUGCUCUCUUCAUACAUGACUUUCUCUUGUUAAUUUCAGACUGAGAUCUCUACCUUGCAUACUCAACAACUUCUUUUGGCUCUCUUAAACACUUCGAAUUCAACAUAUUGAAAAACUGAGUUUAUAAUUUCUCCCCCUUUGUCAUUAUUUAUAUUUUAGUAGCAUCAUUCCUGAGAUCAGUAAGAGUGAUAUCUCCACCUGGAAGUUUAAUAGGCAUCUUAGACUUAACAAGGACAAUAGGAACUCACAUCUUCAUGGUUGGAAGCAGCCUUGUACAACCAGUAUCUACCAUAAAUGCAGCAAGCAAAGUGGAAAUAAACUGAUAUUGUCUCUUUGCAUUAUUGUUUGCUUUUCAGAAUGCUUUUGGAAUGAAUAAAGUUUCUACUCUUGUAAAA